UCACCCUGGUCGCCCUGUUGGGAGAGAAAGCAGAGAAUUAAACAGAGAAAAGCCCCGAGGGAGCGGGGUUCGGCUGGGGGGGGUCAGAUUUUAUCUCGGGUUAAAUUCAUGUUGGGUUAUA
This is a long non-coding RNA of Salarias fasciatus (jewelled blenny), 121 nucleotides long. RefSeq lists it as uncharacterized. The transcript has 2 exons. The record is from RefSeq and is a predicted model, not a curated record. NCBI's taxonomy places the organism in Eukaryota, Metazoa, Chordata, Actinopteri, Blenniiformes, Blenniidae.